RNAcentral lists this ribosomal RNA (868 nucleotides) under uncultured archaeon. Its description in RNAcentral is "bacterial SSU rRNA". It matches the Rfam family "Archaeal small subunit ribosomal RNA", at positions 1 to 878 of the family's 1478-position model. The record is from RNAcentral.
CUCCGGUUGAUCCCGCCGGACCCGACUGCUAUCAGAGUGGGACUAAGCCAUGCGAGUCAACAUAGCAAUAUGUGGCAUACGGCUCAGUAACACGUAGUCAACAUGCCCAGGGGACGUGGAUAACCUCGGGAAACUGAGGAUAAACCGCGAUAGGUCAUCACUUCUGGAAUGGGUAAUGACUUAAAUCUAUAUGGCCCCUGGAUUGGACUGCGGCCGAUCAGGCUGUUGGUGAGGUAAUGGCCCACCAAACCUGUAACCGGUACGGGCUCUGAGAGGAGGAGCCCGGAGAUGGGCACUGAGACAAGGGCCCAGGCCCUAUGGGGCGCAGCAGGCGCGAAACCUCUGCAAUAGGCGAAAGCUUGACAGGGUUACUCUGAGUGAUUUCCGUUAAGGAGAUCUUUUGGCACCUCUAAAAAUGGUGCAGAAUAAGGGGUGGGCAAGUCUGGUGUCAGCCGCCGCGGUAAUACCAGCACCCCGAGUGGUCGGGACGUUUAUUGGGCCUAAAGCAUCCGUAGCCGGUUCUACAAGUCUUCCGUUAAAUCCACCUGCUUAACAGAUGGGCUGCGGAAGAUACUAUAGAGCUAGGAGGCGGGAGAGGCAAGCGGUACUCGAUGGGUAGGGGUAAAAUCCGUUGAUCCAUUGAAGACCACCAGUGGCGAAGGCGGCUUGCCAGAACGCGCUCGACGGUGAGGGAUGAAAGCUGGGGGAGCAAACCGGAUUAGAUACCCGGGUAGUCCCAGCUGUAAACGAUGCAGACUCGGUGAUGAGUUGGCUUAUUGCUAACUCAGUGCCGCAGGGAAGCCGUUAAGUUUGCCGCCUGGGGAGUACGGUCGCAAGACUGAAACUUAAAGGGAUUGGCGGGGGAGCA